This 519-nucleotide ribosomal RNA is filed under the name uncultured bacterium. RNAcentral's name for it is "partial 16S ribosomal RNA". It matches the Rfam family "Bacterial small subunit ribosomal RNA", at positions 28 to 507 of the family's 1533-position model. The record is from RNAcentral.
GACGAACGCUGGCGGCGUGCCUAAUACAUGCAAGUCGAGCGAGCUUGCCUAGAUGAAUUUGGUGCUUGCACCAGAUGAAACGAGAUACAAGCGAGCGGCGGACGGGUGAGUAACACGUGGGUAACCUGCCCAAGAGACUGGGAGAACACCUGGAGACAGAGGCUAAUACGGGAUAACAACACUAGAGGCAUGUCUAGAGUUUAAAAGAUGGUUCUGCUAUCACUCUGGGAUGGACCUACGUUGCAUUAGCUAGUUGGUAGGGCAACGGCUUACCAAGGCAAUGAUGCAUAGCCGAGUUGAGAGACUGAUCGGCCACAUUGGGACUGAGACACGGCCCAGACUCCUACGGGAGGCAGCAGUAGGGAAUCUUCCACAAUGGACGAAAGUCUGAUCCAGCCACGCCGCGUGAGUGAAGAAGGGUUUCGGCUCGUAAAGCUCUUUUGGUAGUGAAGAAAGAUAGUGGUAUUAACUCGCCUUUAUUUGACGUUAAUUACUUAGAAAGUCACGGCUAACUACGUG